This 160-nucleotide ribosomal RNA is filed under the name uncultured bacterium. RNAcentral describes it as "partial 16S ribosomal RNA". It matches the Rfam family "Bacterial small subunit ribosomal RNA", at positions 355 to 507 of the family's 1533-position model. The record is from RNAcentral.
UGGGGAAUAUUGCACAAUGGGCGCAAGCCUGAUGCAGCCAUGCCGCGUGUAUGAAGAAGGCCUUCGGGUUGUAAAGUACUUUCAGCGGGGAGGAAGGCGUUGAGGUUAAUAACCUCGGCGAUUGACGUUACCCGCAGAAGAAGCACCGGCUAACUCCGUG